Molecule: ribosomal RNA, 260 nt
Filed under: uncultured bacterium
Lineage: Bacteria
Description: partial 16S ribosomal RNA
Rfam family: Bacterial small subunit ribosomal RNA
Source: RNAcentral
UACGAAGGGGGCUAGCGUUGCUCGGAAUCGACUGGGCGUAAAGGGUGCGUAGGCGGGUCUUUAAGUUCAGGGGUGAAAUCCGUGGAGCCUCAACUCCAGUAACUGCCUUUGAUACUGAGGAUCUUGAGUUCGGGGAGAGGUGAGUGGAACUGCGAGUGUAGAGGUGAAAAUUCGUAGAUAUUCGCAAGAACACCAGUGGCGAAGGCGGCUCACUGGCCCGUUACUGACGCUGAGGCACGAAAACGUGGGGAGCAAACAGG